Molecule: transfer RNA, 100 nt
Filed under: Streptomyces tauricus
Lineage: Bacteria; Bacillati; Actinomycetota; Actinomycetes; Kitasatosporales; Streptomycetaceae
Description: tRNA-Gln
Source: RNAcentral
CGGCGGGAUGGGCGAAGACGGUCACGCCGCCCGCGGCCUUGACCAGCCGGAUCAUCUCGAAGGGGUCGGACUCGUGCUUCUGGAUGUGCGCCCGCCCGCC